RNAcentral lists this ribosomal RNA (413 nucleotides) under uncultured bacterium. RNAcentral describes it as "bacterial SSU rRNA". It matches the Rfam family "Bacterial small subunit ribosomal RNA", at positions 28 to 436 of the family's 1533-position model. The record is from RNAcentral.
GACGAACGCUGGCGGCGCGCCUAACACAUGCAAGUCGAACGAGAGAGAAGGAGCUUGCUUCUUCGAUCGAGUGGCGAACGGGUGAGUAACGCGUGAGGAACCUGCCUCAAAGAGGGGGACAACAGUUGGAAACGACUGCUAAUACCGCAUAAGCCCACGGGUCGGCAUCGACCAGAGGGAAAAGGAGCAAUCCGCUUUGAGAUGGCCUCGCGUCCGAUUAGCUAGUUGGUGAGGUAACGGCCCACCAAGGCGACGAUCGGUAGCCGGACUGAGAGGUUGAACGGCCACAUUGGGACUGAGACACGGCCCAGACUCCUACGGGAGGCAGCAGUGGGGAAUAUUGCACAAUGGGGGAAACCCUGAUGCAGCGACGCCGCGUGGAGGAAGAAGGUCUUCGGAUUGUAAACUCCUGU